GCGGGCGUAGUUUAGCGGUAGAACAUCUGCUUGCCGAGCAGAAGGCGCGGGUUCGAGUCCCGCCGUCCGCU
Molecule: transfer RNA, 71 nt
Filed under: Ardenticatenia bacterium
Lineage: Bacteria; Bacillati; Chloroflexota; Ardenticatenia
Description: tRNA-Gly
Rfam family: tRNA
About the family: Transfer RNA (tRNA) molecules are approximately 80 nucleotides in length. Their secondary structure includes four short double-helical elements and three loops (D, anti-codon, and T loops).
Source: RNAcentral